This 512-nucleotide ribosomal RNA is filed under the name uncultured bacterium. Its description in RNAcentral is "partial 16S ribosomal RNA". It matches the Rfam family "Bacterial small subunit ribosomal RNA", at positions 28 to 523 of the family's 1533-position model. The record is from RNAcentral.
GACGAACGCUGGCGGCGUGCCUAAUACAUGCAAGUCGAGCGGAACUGGGGGAGCUUGCUCCUUCCAGUUUAGCGGUGGACGGGUGAGUAACACGUGGGCAACCUGCCCUGCAGAUCGGGAUAACUCCGGGAAACCGGUGCUAAUACCGACUCGUUUGGCGCCUCUCCUGAGGCGCCACGGAAAGACGGUUUCGGCUGUCACUGCAGGAUGGGCCCGCGGCGCAUUAGCUAGUUGGUGGGGUAACGGCCCACCAAGGCGACGAUGCGUAGCCGACCUGAGAGGGUGACCGGCCACACUGGGACUGAGACACGGCCCAGACUCCUACGGGAGGCAGCAGUAGGGAAUCUUCCGCAAUGGACGCAAGUCUGACGGAGCAACGCCGCGUGAGUGACGAAGGUUUUCGGAUCGUAAAACUCUGUUGUGAGGGAAGAACACGUACCAACUAACUAUUGGUACCUUGACGGUACCUCACCAGAAAGCCACGGCUAACUACGUGCCAGCCGCCGCGGUAA